This 1212-nucleotide long non-coding RNA is filed under the name Homo sapiens (human). Its description in RNAcentral is "long non-coding RNA NONHSAT006213.2". Lineage: Eukaryota; Metazoa; Chordata; Mammalia; Primates; Hominidae. The record is from RNAcentral.
ACCCUCGGCCCCCCACGGCGGUUGGUCCGGGCGGGGGAAGGAGAAAGUGAGACUCGGUGUCAUCACCAAUCCAUCGCCAGAAGGGGAGGAAACUGGAAUCCAGCAGCGGCGAGCAGCAGCUGGACGGUAACAUCUGGAAAUGGAAAGCCGACCUCCCCCUCCUCCUCCACCUCCUCCUCCUCCUCCUCCUCCUCCUCCUCCUCCUCUCACCCAGGAUCACUUCCAAAACCACUUGGCCUUCAGCCCCUGCCUCGGCCAGAGGUUUCAUUUUUAACUGAAUAUUUACGAAAGCUGAAAGCGUGCGAGGGGGGUGGGGUGGAAAUAGCGGCUGCUUCUUUUCCAAGGAUUUAUUUAAUGGGGAUGUGUUCAAGGCAAGACCGAAUUCAGAAGGAUAUCGACGUCGUGAUCCAGAAGUCCAGAGCUGAGGACUGCCUGUUUGCAGGACAACUGUGCAGACUACAAAGCUUCGGAAAACCGGAGAGGCUGAGUCGACUAAUCGUGUUGUUGCACGUUAGAAACGCUUGCAUUGCCUGACUCUGAAACCAGAAGGGCGGCCGAAUGGCCUUCACCCUCCAUUAACCCUCGCCUCCUUCAGAAGCCAGUGCCUCUGGAAAUGCCUGGAUCUGCGACCCCAGCCUGAGCCUAGUAGGGCCCAAGGGAAGCUGAACGCCCCGACGGCUCUCAUGGUAGAAAUCACAGAGAUCAGCAACUCUAGAGUGCGAUGAAGAAGCUUCACUCUGGGAGAACCCCCUUCGUGACCACGGUCUCUUUCCUGCCAGGGCACUGGCAACAGUUUUCCGUUUGUGCCUACUCCACCUGCUGUCUUUGUUGGGUCAGCGAACAUCGCCUCCCUCUACCGCUCAAUCAGCAAAAGGGACCGCCCUUGAGGACCUCACCCGCCGCUCACUCCCCUCCCAACUUCGCGGGCAUCGCCUCCGGUCGCCUCUUCCGAAGGCCUAACGAGCAUGUUAGCUGCGAACGGAGGUGAGGAGGCUCCGCUGACUGACCGGUGCCCACGUCCAGGGCACGCACAAACGCCAUGACUUGGCUUGGCCUCUCUCUUAGUUAUUCACAGCUCAGCCCGAUAGGCACCUCUGGGGCGGCGACGGCAAAGAGGGUGCGCUUAUUAAGUGCAGCUCCACGGGGACUGGCCUCUCUGCACGGCUGUGUACACCUGAGCGAGACGCUCAGUCGCUCUCUAAAGCCGCUUCU